AGCAGCCGCGGUAAUUCCAGCUCCAAUAGCGUAUAUUAAAGUUGUUGCAGUUAAAAAGCUCGUAGUUGAAUUUCGGGAUCAAUAUGUUGGUCGUGCCUCGGUACGUACUAGCAUAUUGGUUUCUCCUUUCUGAAGAACCAUGAUGUCAUUUAUUUGGUGUCGUGGGGAAUCAGGACUGUUACUUUGAAAAAAUUAGAGUGUUUAAAGCAGGCUCACGCUUGAAUACAUUAGCAUGGAAUAAUGAAAUAGGACGUUUGAUUCUAUUUUGUUGGUUUCUAGGAUCGACGUAAUGAUUAAUAGGGAUAGUUGGGGGCAUUAGUAUUCAAUUGUCAGAGGUGAAAUUCUUGGAUUUAUUGAAGACUAACUACUGCGAAAGCAUUUGCCAAGGAUGUUUUCAUUAAUCAAGAACGAAAGUUAGGGGAUCGAAGACGAUCAGAUACCGUCGUAGUCUUAACCAUAAACUAUGCCGACUAGGGAUCGGAUGAUGUUAAUUUUUAAU
RNAcentral lists this ribosomal RNA (499 nucleotides) under uncultured Glomus. RNAcentral's name for it is "SSU rRNA". It matches the Rfam family "Eukaryotic small subunit ribosomal RNA", at positions 569 to 1074 of the family's 1831-position model. Lineage: Eukaryota; Fungi; Glomeromycota; Glomeromycetes; Glomerales; Glomeraceae. The record is from RNAcentral.